This 160-nucleotide ribosomal RNA is filed under the name Nymphoides aquatica x Nymphoides cordata. Its description in RNAcentral is "5.8S ribosomal RNA". It matches the Rfam family "5.8S ribosomal RNA". Rfam says of the family: 5.8S ribosomal RNA (5.8S rRNA) is a component of the large subunit of the eukaryotic ribosome. It is transcribed by RNA polymerase I as part of the 45S precursor that also contains 18S and 28S rRNA. Lineage: Eukaryota; Viridiplantae; Streptophyta; Magnoliopsida; Asterales; Menyanthaceae. The record is from RNAcentral.
AUGACUCUCGGCAACGGAUAUCUCGGCUCUCGCAUCGAUGAAGAACGUAGCGAAAUGCGAUACUUGGUGUGAAUUGCAGAAUCCCGUGAAACAUCGAGUUUUUGAACGCAAGUUGCGCCCGAAGCCGUUAGGCUAAGGGCACGUUUGCCUGGGCGUCGUA